UAGAACUCAUUAUGCAGAUCUGGUUGGCCUU
This 31-nucleotide non-coding RNA is filed under the name Rattus norvegicus (Norway rat). The record is from RNAcentral. Lineage: Eukaryota; Metazoa; Chordata; Mammalia; Rodentia; Muridae.